CUUGGCCAGGAGCCUUCCGUCCCUGGGGACGCUGAUUUCUUGCUCAAGUGCAUGUCAGAGGCAGGAGUUGAUGGUGCCCUUAUUGUGCAACCAAUAAACCAUAUGUUUGAUCAUUCUUUAGUAACUAGUGUUUUGAGGCGUCAUCCAUCCAAAUUUGUUGGUUGCAUUACGGAGGAGGAGAAGA
Molecule: long non-coding RNA, 184 nt
Organism: Zingiber officinale
Lineage: Eukaryota; Viridiplantae; Streptophyta; Magnoliopsida; Zingiberales; Zingiberaceae
Exons: 3
Source: RefSeq, a predicted model, not a curated record